GGGGGCGUAACUCAGUGGGAGAGUGUCACGUUCGCAACGUGAAAGUCGAGGGUUCGAAUCCCUUCGCCUCCACCA
RNAcentral lists this transfer RNA (75 nucleotides) under Bacillota bacterium. RNAcentral's name for it is "Firmicutes bacterium (anaerobic digester metagenome) tRNA-Ala". It matches the Rfam family "tRNA". Rfam says of the family: Transfer RNA (tRNA) molecules are approximately 80 nucleotides in length. Their secondary structure includes four short double-helical elements and three loops (D, anti-codon, and T loops). Further hydrogen bonds mediate the characteristic L-shaped molecular structure. tRNAs have two regions of fundamental functional importance: the anti-codon, which is responsible for specific mRNA codon recognition, and the 3' end, to which the tRNAs corresponding amino acid is attached (by aminoacyl-tRNA synthetases). tRNAs cope with the degeneracy of the genetic code in two manners: having more than one tRNA (with a specific anti-codon) for a particular amino acid; and 'wobble' base-pairing, i.e. permitting non-standard base-pairing at the 3rd anti-codon position. The record is from RNAcentral. Lineage: Bacteria; Bacillati; Bacillota.